This 1228-nucleotide ribosomal RNA is filed under the name uncultured bacterium. RNAcentral describes it as "partial 16S ribosomal RNA". It matches the Rfam family "Bacterial small subunit ribosomal RNA". The record is from RNAcentral.
GCCCUUAGAGUUUGAUCCUGGCUCAGAUUGAACGCUGGCGGCAGGCCUAACACAUGCAAGUCGAGCGGUAACAGGAAAUAGCUUGCUAUUUUGCUGACGAGCGGCGGACGGGUGAGUAAUGGCUGGGAACCUGCCCUAACGAGGGGGAUAACUACUGGAAACGGUAGCUAAUACCGCAUGAUAUCUCUUUCUAUAAACAGAGGAGAUCAAAGAGGAGGACCUUCGGGCUUCUCGCGUUAGGAUGGGCCCAGUUGGGAUUAGCUAGUUGGUGAGGUAAUGGCUCACCAAGGCGACGAUCCCUAUCUGGUUUGAGAGGAUGAUCAGCCACACUGGAACUGAGACACGGUCCAGACUCCUACGGGAGGCAGCAGUGGGGAAUAUUGCACAAUGGGCGCAAGCCUGAUGCACCAUCCGCGUGUGUGAAGAAAGCCUUCCGGUUGUAAAGCACUUUCAGCAGUGAGGAAGAUAAUGUAGUUAAUACCUGCAUUGUUGACGUUACUGCAGAAAAACACCGGUUACUCCUCCACACCGCGUAUCCGAAGGGCAGCGUAUCGAAUCUGGCGUAACCAUCAGCGUUGUACAAUUUGGGGAAGUACCGGUUCGCAAAGAUUAAAACUCAAAAUGAAUUGACGGGGGCCCGCACAAAGCGGGUGGAAGCAUGUGGUUUAAUUCGAUGCAACGGGAAGACCUUUACUUACUCUUGACAUCUACAGAAGCUUGCGAAGACGCGAGUGUGCUUUCGGGAACUGUAAGACAGGUGCUGCAUGGCUGUCGUCAGCUCGUGUUGUGAAAUGUUGGGUUAAGUCCCGCAACGAGCGCAACCCUUUAUCCUUGUUUGCCAGCACGUAAUGGUGGGAACUCCAGGGAGACUGCCGGUGAUAAACCGGAGGAAGGUGGGGACGACGUCAAGUCAUCAUGGCCCUUACGAGUAGGGCUACACACGUGCUACAAUGGCAUAUACAGAGGGCAGCAAGACCGCGAGGUGGAGCGAAUCCCAGAAAGUAUGUCGUAGUCCGGAUUGGAGUCUGCAACUCGACUCCAUGAAGUCGGAAUCGCUAGUAAUCGUGGAUCAGAAUGCCACGGUGAAUACGUUCCCGGGCCUUGUACACACCGCCCGUCACACCAUGGGAGUGGGCUGCACCAGAAGUAGAUAGCUUAACCUUCGGGAGGGCGUUUACCACGGUGUGGUUCAUGACUGGGGUGAAGUCGUAACAAGGUAACCAAGGGC